GACAGAGGGUGCAAACGUUGCUCGGAAUUACUGGGCGUAAAGCGCGUGUAGGUGGAUUGGUGUGUCAGAUGUGAAAUCCCUGGGCUCAACCCAGGAACUGCACCUGAAACUACCAGUCUUGAGUGGUGGAGAGGGAAGUGGAAUUCCUGGUGUAGAGGUGAAAUUCGUAGAUAUCAGGAGGAACACCAGUGGCGAAGGCGGCUUCCGUGGACACCAACUGACGCUGAGACGCGAAAGCGUGGGGAGCAAACAGG
This 254-nucleotide ribosomal RNA is filed under the name uncultured bacterium. RNAcentral's name for it is "partial 16S ribosomal RNA". It matches the Rfam family "Bacterial small subunit ribosomal RNA", at positions 524 to 776 of the family's 1533-position model. The record is from RNAcentral.